CCAUGAUGCUUUGCGAGGAGAAAGGACCCGCAGCUCUUCCGUGAUGGAUGCACCGUUUUGCUUCGUGCGAAAUAGCCGGUUUUGGAACCGGCGGGAAUGUUCGAGGAAACCAAUUCCUGUUCACCCGCGGACACGUGUUUGUCCGUGGUCGCGCGCGGGACGCCCUAACCUCAGUGUCCAUCGUCGCUGUAGGCCUCCGUGUCGGUGGCAGAGCAGAGCAACGCUCUUCUCCUUGUACGUGGACGACAGGUCAGACGAUUGGCAAUUUGGCCCAGAGCCCUUUUCCUUGGGAAUACUCCAA
Pseudonaja textilis is the source of this 301-nucleotide non-coding RNA. The record is from RefSeq and is a predicted model, not a curated record. NCBI's taxonomy places the organism in Eukaryota, Metazoa, Chordata, Lepidosauria, Squamata, Elapidae.